AGAGUUUGAUCCUGGCUCAGGAUGAACGCUGGCGGCGUGCCUAAUACAUGCAAGUCGAGCGAACAGACGAGGAGCCUGCUCCUCUGACGUUAGCGGCGGACGGGUGAGUAACACGUGGAUAACCUACCUAUAAGACUGGGAUAACUUCGGGAAACCGGAGCUAAUACCGGAUAACAUGUUGAACCGCAUGGUUCAACAGUGAAAGACGGUCUUGCUGUCACUUAUAGAUGGAUCCGCGCUGCAUUAGCUAGUUGGUAAGGUAACGGCUUACCAAGGCAACGAUGCGUAGCCGACCUGAGAGGGUGAUCGGCCACACUGGAACUGAGACACGGUCCAGACUCCUACGGGAGGCAGCAGUAGGGAAUCUUCCGCAAUGGGCGAAAGCCUGACGGAGCAACGCCGCGUGAGUGAAGAAGGUCUUCGGAUCGUAAAACUCUGUUAUUAGGGAAGAACAAAUGUGUAAGUAACUAUGCACGUCUUGACGGUACCUAAUCAGAAAGCCACGGCUAACUACGUGCCAGCAGCCGCGGUAAUACGUAGGUGGCAAGCGUUAUCCGGAAUUAUUGGGCGUAAAGCGCGCGUAGGCGGUUUUUUAAGUCUGAUGUGAAAGCCCACGGCUCAACCGUGGAGGGUCAUUGGAAACUGGAAAACUUGAGUGCAGAAGAGGAAAGUGGAAUUCCAUGUGUAGCGGUGAAAUGCGCAGAGAUAUGGAGGAACACCAGUGGCGAAGGCGACUUUCUGGUCUGUAACUGACGCUGAUGUGCGAAAGCGUGGGGAUCAAACAGGAUUAGAUACCCUGGUAGUCCACGCCGUAAACGAUGAGUGCUAAGUGUUAGGGGGUUUCCGCCCCUUAGUGCUGCAGCUAACGCAUUAAGCACUCCGCCUGGGGAGUACGACCGCAAGGUUGAAACUCAAAGGAAUUGACGG
Molecule: ribosomal RNA, 927 nt
Filed under: uncultured bacterium
Lineage: Bacteria
Description: bacterial SSU rRNA
Rfam family: Bacterial small subunit ribosomal RNA
Source: RNAcentral